Molecule: ribosomal RNA, 510 nt
Filed under: uncultured bacterium
Lineage: Bacteria
Description: partial 16S ribosomal RNA
Rfam family: Bacterial small subunit ribosomal RNA
Source: RNAcentral
GACGAACGCUGGCGGCGUGCUUAACACAUGCAAGUCGAACGAAGAGCGACGGAAGCUUGCUUCUAUCAAUCUUAGUGGCGAACGGGUGAGUAACGCGUAAUCAACCUGCCCUUCAGAGGGGGACAACAGUUGGAAACGACUGCUAAUACCGCAUACGAUCUAAUCUCGGCAUCUAGGAUGGAUGAAAGGUGGCCUCUACAUGUAAGCUAUCACUGAAGGAGGGGAUUGCGUCUGAUUAGCUAGUUGGAGGGGUAACGGCCCACCAAGGCGAUGAUCAGUAGCCGGUCUGAGAGGAUGAACGGCCACAUUGGGACUGAGACACGGCCCAGACUCCUACGGGAGGCAGCAGUGGGGAAUCUUCCGCAAUGGACGAAAGUCUGACGGAGCAACGCCGCGUGAGUGAUGACGGCCUUCGGGUUGUAAAGCUCUGUUAAUCGGGACGAAAGGCCUUCUUGCGAAUAGUGAGAAGGAUUGACGGUACCGGAAUAGAAAGCCACGGCUAACUACGUG